Long non-coding RNA from Dama dama (fallow deer), 1670 nucleotides. RefSeq lists it as uncharacterized. The record is from RefSeq and is a predicted model, not a curated record. The transcript has 3 exons. Lineage: Eukaryota; Metazoa; Chordata; Mammalia; Artiodactyla; Cervidae.
UGCUGCUUCUGACAAACUAUUUGUAGGAAAAUGAGAUUUGGUCCGCGCUGGAUGGCUCCUCUGGGAGGCAGGCGUGGGGGUCGGGUUCGGAGCCCCCGUGCGGGCCCCCCCACCAGAGCCCACGGCGCUUACGGAGCUCUUUAAGAUAAAUGAGCAAAAUUAAGAGACUCACUGGGGGAAGAAAACGGGAUGGCAGCGAGCGAGAGCGGCUGGUACAGGGUUUCCGCCCAGAGAUUCAUCCACGUGCGCCCCACUGGGGCCUCCCCCAUCUGCCGCAGACUCCAGGGAGCUCUCUUCCCCAAGAAGAACUUCCAGACCCCGGGGCGCCUUUCUUCCUCCCCCUGGAUGUGGUCGUUGAAAAGGGCAGAGACCUUUCUAGAAGGACGCAUCACUCAGGACAGGACGCAGGCAGUGGAAGCCCGUGACUGAAGCAAGCCCCCAGGCCUCACCUCCAAGGCAGGGUUUAACACUUCUGGUCGGCUGAGCAGCAAACUGUAAGCUCCCUGAGGGCAGGUGGGAGGUCUUGGGUUUUCUGGCGGAACCUAAGGGCUGCAAGGAGGUCAAAGCAGUCAAUCCUAAAGGAAAUCAACCCUGAAUAUUCAUUGGAAAGCGAAAGCAAAAUCGCUCAGUCAUGUCCGACUCUUUGUGACCCCACGGACUGUAGCCUACCAGGCUCCUCAGUCCAUGGAAUUUUCCAGGCAGACGCUUUACCAUGAGCCACCAGGGAAGCCCAUCGGAAGGGCUGAUGCUAAAGCUGAAGCUCCAAUCCUUUGGCCACCUGAUGUGAAGAGCCAGCUCAAUGGAAAAGACCCUGAUGCUGGGAAAGACUGAAGGCAAAAGGAGACGGGGGCGGGAGAGGAUGAGAUGAUUAGACAGCAUCACCGGCCCAAUGGACAUAAUUUGAGCAAACUCCGGGAGACAGUGGAGGACAGAGCAGCCUGGCUGCUACAGUCCAUGGGGUCGCUGAGUUGGACACAACUUAGCCACUGAACAACAUCCACCCUAGGGCUGGCUCCCUGCAGGCCCUAAAUACUAUUUGUGGGGGGAGUGACUGCUCCAACACAAGCCUGUCUUUCAAACUCAAGGCUUCAUUUUCAACUCCCAUGGGAUGUGCCCUGGAGCCAGUUUUUCAGGACAUGUUUUUCCUUAUUUUAAAAACAAUACAUUUUAAUGGAUGCAGUAUCUUCUCUUAUCUCCAGGAGAGCAGUAAUUAUUCUGUAACUCUGUUUUGUAUUUAUUUAUUUUUGUCUGUUUUUGAAGUCUUAAUUUCCCUUUUAGUAAAUAAGAAAGAAUUCUCUCUCAGAAAUUAAAAGUUGAAAUGUAGAAGUUGAAAUAAAUUAAGUAGGAGGCCUGAAAGAUAAUGUGAAAAAAACUCCAAUACAUUUAUUGUUCUGUCAAAUGUGAAGAAAAUAGAGAUAAGCCUGGACAAGAAAAGAAAAAUCACCUACCAGUUCUAUAGUUUGGUGUCUAUCUGAGUUUGAAAAGAAAAAGGCUCAUAUUGCACAUAUUUUUGAUAUGCUUUACAUAUCAAAUAUCAUCAAAUACAAUGAUAUUAUAUUAUGCAUCCUUUUUUAUGAUAUUCACUAUUCCUCUAAGAUAUAAUAUUAAAUGGAAACAGUUUGUCGACUGUAUGUUUGUAUGUUCCAUGUAUGGCUUCAUUAUUAAUAAAA